Molecule: unclassified non-coding RNA, 609 nt
Filed under: Aspergillus neoglaber
Lineage: Eukaryota; Fungi; Ascomycota; Eurotiomycetes; Eurotiales; Aspergillaceae
Description: sequence contains 18S rRNA gene, ITS1, 5.8S rRNA gene, ITS2, 28S rRNA gene
Rfam family: 5.8S ribosomal RNA (bases 232-385)
Source: RNAcentral
UCGUAACAAGGUUUCCGUAGGUGAACCUGCGGAAGGAUCAUUACCGAGUGAGGGCCCUCCGGGUCCAACCUCCCACCCGUGUCUAUUGUACCUUGUUGCUUCGGCGGGCCCGCCGUUUUCGAACGGCCGCCGGGGAGGCCUCGCGCCCCCGGGCCCGCGCCCGCCGAAGACCCCAACAUGAACUCUGUUCUGAAAGUAUGCAGUCUGAGUUUGAUUACCAUAAUCAGUUAAAACUUUCAACAACGGAUCUCUUGGUUCCGGCAUCGAUGAAGAACGCAGCGAAAUGCGAUAAGUAAUGUGAAUUGCAGAAUUCAGUGAAUCAUCGAGUCUUUGAACGCACAUUGCGCCCCCUGGUAUUCCGGGGGGCAUGCCUGUCCGAGCGUCAUUGCUGCCCUCAAGCACGGCUUGUGUGUUGGGCCCCCGUCCCCGGUUCUCCCCGGGGACGGGCCCGAAAGGCAGCGGCGGCACCGCGUCCGAUCCUCGAGCGUAUGGGGCUUUGUCACCCGCUCUGUAGGCCCGGCCGGCGCCAGCCGACACCCCCAACUUUAUUUUUCUAAGGUUGACCUCGGAUCAGGUAGGGAUACCCGCUGAACUUAAGCAUAUCAAUAA